This 299-nucleotide signal recognition particle RNA is filed under the name Aotus nancymaae (Ma's night monkey). RNAcentral's name for it is "Metazoan signal recognition particle RNA (ENSANAG00000005921.1)". It matches the Rfam family "Metazoan signal recognition particle RNA". Rfam says of the family: The signal recognition particle (SRP) is a universally conserved ribonucleoprotein. The record is from RNAcentral. Lineage: Eukaryota; Metazoa; Chordata; Mammalia; Primates; Aotidae.
GCCGGGUGUGGUGGCGCGUGCCUGUAGUCUCAGUUACUCGGGAGGCUGAGGUGGGAGGAUCGCUUGAGCCCAGGAUUUCUGGGCUGUAGUGCGCCAUGCCGAUCGGGUGUCCACACUAAGUUUGGCAUCAAUAUAGUGACCUUCCAGGAGCGGGGGACCACCAGGUUGCCUAAGGAGGGGUGAACCAGCCCAGGUCAGAAAUGGAGUAGGUCAAAACUCUUGUGCUGAUCAGUAGUGGGAUCGAGCCUAUGAAUAACCACUGCAUUCCAGCCUAGGCAACAUAGCGAGACCCCGUCUCU